GCUCGACAGUGAAUGCUUUCCAAUGAGAAACUGUAGCAGGAUUUUUUUUUUGUCCCCAUCCUUUGGUCCCUAUUGUAUGUUCAGCUGCACUGUAGCUUGCUGCUAAUCAAAGCCAGGGACUCUCAUACACAAACAAACACAGCAUUGUGGCCUCCCCCGGGGCUGGAAUACAGCAGUCUAACAAUUGAGUCAGGUGAUGGCAGGCCUAAGGAUCAGACAGUAGCUCCUAGACAUGCUCCUGCCUUCAGUCCCAGAGGAGCCCUCUGCUCAGCACAAUCAUGUUGAAACCACCAGGCCAGUGUAUAAUUUGAAUGACUCUCAGUUACAUGUGACCCUCCUUUCUGGGUCUUCUUCAUUUCAGUAAAUGGGUCCCUGAUAAAUCAUUCUGAUCCUUCCUCCGGUUCCACCCUGAGAGAACUUUGCUGCUGGUCUUUAUAAGCUUCUCUAAGACAUAUAUGCUUCUCUAAGUUUCCAGCAUCAAGGAUUUGGGGCUUGCUUCAGAUCUGAAAGAUUCUCCAGCACAACUACCAUGUUAUGAUGCAGACUAGAUACAAAUAUUCUAAUAUUCUCAACAAAGUGGGAUUUUGUUUAAAUGCUACCAAGAGGCAAUAUAAGCCAUCCCACAUCAAGUUUCAAGACCAACAAUCCACUCCUGUUUGAGAAGAACUGUCUCUAACUCCUCAGGUGACACUCUUUGAUUUAAAACAAAACCAAAACUAAAACAAAACAAAAAACAAAAACAAAACAACCCUCACACCUUCUGUCAAGGACCUCUCUCCAGAUGCUUGGUGCUCAAGGUCCAGUGGAUGGCAAUCAAGAGAAUGGUUAUGUCUUGGUAUAGAUUUGAAUAUCAAAUGAGGAAGGAGGCAGUUUAGAUGAAAAGGUAAGAGAGCCAUGCUUGCUUUUUAUAAUUAUAUGUGAAGUUUUGAUUAAAAAAAAAACCCAAGCAUAAAAAGGAAGUAGUUAAUAUUUUGUACUACACUUGGCACAUACAAGUCAAGGCAUAAAACAAAGUCGGGAAGAUGACAGACCAAUGUACUGCACAGCCGGGAGCUGAAGGGCACUCUGCUGUGUCCCCUUCAUAGGAAGGAGACCCCACACUUUUCUCAAUUAUCCUUUACUGAGUGCCAGGUUACAUAGGUGGAUUAAAAGGAUGCAAAGAGGAACAGCUUCAAGGACCUUGGAUAUUAGGCUCUGGGUCCUGCUGGAUGUUCUGGUUGAGACAAGAAUCUUCAAGGACGUAAAUGACACAACUUUGUCUUCAAAGACUCCCUCGGGGAAUAUCAAGGAAUGGACAGGGCUGCUCCCCAGUGUGAGUCUAGCUUUGUGGAACUAUAAUGGCAAGAGGUAUCUGGAGCCAGGGCAUUGAAAAAGUGAAAUUUCCAGAAAAAUUUUCCCAACAAACACCUCCCAAAGGAUGAAGUGGCAUGCUCCAGACCAUUGGUCUGAAGAGGAAGAACCUUCAGCAUUGUUUAAAUGAAAUUUUUCUGAGGUCUAAAGUUUCUAUGGAGACAGGCUUAAAGCUGGGCUCUGUCCCAUUUUUGUAUAUUUCCCUAAGACCUCUGCUCAAAUUCACUUUUCUUUCAUUCUUUUUUCGCUUUCUUUUGUGAAGCAGCUGAAGUCAAUGGCUCCUGUUUAACCUCUUGCAAGAGAACUCACUGGAUGAAUCAUUAGAAGCCCACAGAGCCAGACCGCACUUGGGAAAUGUCUGUUUCAAAAGAAAUCGGUAGAAAUCCACAUCUAUCCAUUUAUUCUGCUGGACUGUUUUUUAUCUACAUCUCCAAACCAAAUUCAUUCAUGACAGCCUUGAAGUACAUCUCCAAAUCCCCAGAUAUCACGUAUCAGAAGUCUUCUCACGAUCAGAACAGUCUACUUAAAAAGGGUGAAAAAUACUUGGGGCUAAAGUUGGUGGGAAUCCUGAUACUGGCAUAGACAAGAAAGGCAUUUGACUUUCUCCCCUCCUCUGUGAUCAACAAUGUGGUUGUCAAACCCCAAUUUGAUCCAAGUCACUUUCAACUAGAGCCAAUUGGACAUUAGUCACUCCAAAUAAUAACAGAGCAAAUAAAUAACUCCCCUCAAGGCUGCCAAGCCCUGGAGCAACAGGCAUCAAAGAGGUCUGCUGGCCUUGGAGCGCACCCACCUGCAGUGAGCUAGACCCACCCUGGAACCCUGGAACAGCUCAGAAGUUUCCCAGGCCCCAGGGACCAGUUGAGGAAUUAGAUGAGUCCUGGGAGGGACCACACAGCUGUGUGUUCCCCAGGGACACUCUUUCUCUUGACUACAUGGAAAGGGUCCUUUGGGUAAAAACGGAACACACUGUUUGUGCAGCUUGUCCUUGACCAGGUACAUGCAAAUUCUGCAAGAUAACUUAUUCCCAUCUAAACAAGUUAUUCUUUGCUGAGACAGAGACUCUUCUUGUUUACUGCAUAGGAUAUUGGCUUGCAUUUUUCUAUUUUCAUCAUUUUAAUAAGAAUCCGUAACUUACUAAGCAUUUUUGUGAUACCAAAUUACCCAUAUCAGGCUAAAUAAAUUAAAUUUCCAUCGUAAUUAGCUCAUUUGGUGAAAACAAAUGUACAUGCUAAUGUGUGUAUACCUAUUAAAAUAUUGCACGGAACAAUUAUAGUGUUAUAGGAAUGAAGGGCACACAAUUAUGCAUAUAACACAAUUAUGCAUAUAACUAGAGUAAGUCAUACUAGGAAAACUGUAAAAGCUUAUGAGUGAUAAUAUACAAUGUGUAUGCAAAGAAUAUAAGUUUCUCUCAUAAAAGUUCAUUAACCUGCACCAUGAAUAUGUUUUUCUAGAACAGGAAAAACAUAUUUUUCAAGUAUAUCUGUUUUCCUGAUAAGAAAUAUAGUAAAAAAAAUAUUUCAGAUGAUUUAAGUUAAUCAACUUACAAGUUUGACCUACAUUGAGCUCUACGCGCUACUCACAUAUUCUCAGGCAGUGUUCAAUAAUUAAACAUCUAGGGUAAACAAAGAGGAUGGGAAGGAAGACUGUGAUAGCCUCACAAGAUUUAGCCAUGCAUUUUGGUUUAAAAUUAACGAAUUACUUACCCUGUUUCCUGCAAAGCCAUAAGGCUCCCUCAUUUGAAGCACUUCUAAAGAAAGAAAUAGGAUGCCCAUAGGAAGCAAGUUUGGGUUGUUUGUUUUAUGGUAGGCUUCUGUUUCGUUUUCUCUUUUCUUCCUUCCUUCCUUCCUUCCUUCCUUCCUUCCUUCCUUCCUUCCUUCCUUCCUUCCUUCCUUUCUUUCUUUCUUUCUUUCUCUCUCUCUCUCCCUCCCUCCCUCCCUCCCUUCCUUCCCUCCUUCCUUUCCUUCUUUUUAAAGAACAUUAAUAUUUAAAUCAGAUUCUCCAGAGCUUUAGGAUGUUUUUAUUUUUUUAAGCUAAAGAUUCUAAUCAUGGCUUAUAGGGCAUAUUUGGUCAACUAUGUUCACAUCUACAGACACUAUAUGUUAAACCCAAAGUAUGUUCUUGCCAUCAAAAGCAAAAUCCUGUGAUGAGAAUUCAGCAAAGUCCAAAUUCUCAGCAUAUGAGGCAGGCUAUUUUAAAAACAUUGUUCUAAAUCUUUGCAUAAUUUCCAUUUGUUUUAUCUGAAAAGAUUUUAUCUGUUUCCUGGGAUUAUCACCAAAUUAUAUUCACUAUUGAUUUAAAUCUGGAUUGCCUUUUUCUGGACAUCCUAAAGUUUUUUAGGAUGCCACACAGAAAGACAAUCUCUGCCUUUCUUUUAUUCUCUGCCUUUAUUUUAUACACAGAAGAGAGAAGGAGAAUGGUGUAGUAGAUGUCAUAAUACAGAUAAGAAUAACACUAAGAAAAUCUGCUAUUAUAUAUACUUUCAAUACCAAGGGCAAAAUCUACCAAGCAUCUUUAGUAAAUUUUAAAGGAAAAUUUAGGAGACAACAUUUGGGAUCCCUUUCUUUCUCAAGUGAAUCCUUGUGCAUGAAGCCAGGCUACUUGGACUAUAACAGGCCAAGUCAAUAGUAGAUAUGUAGGUGUUUGAGAUGCAAUCAAAUGCUAGAAAUAUUUGGAGAUGGAAAUAGAGGUCUGAGUACAUUUUGCAUGUGGCAAGAAGGUUUCUACCAAGGAUCCUCAUGAUUUGUAUUAAGCUAUUGUCAUGUGUAGAAAAUUAUGACAAAAGAAGAGCUUAUCACACAAGUCUAGAUGUCUUGGUACUCAAAGUGACUUCUCCAGCCCUAAACACUGCCAUCACCCUGGAAUCUUUGGACAUGUAUGUACAGUCCAUAGGGAGACCUGGGGGAUCCAGACCUUCAUUCGGUGGAAAUUCCUGGGCAACUGGUCUAAACCUGAAAGCCACAGUGGUACAUGUGUGGUGCCAAGAACUCCAAAGUCCUAAAUGUGGUAACAAUUACCAAUUGAAUACUGCAGUGAGCAUCCUUUAAGAAUCUCAAAGGCUAAACUAGAACACCGGUAUUUAAUAAAAGAAGCCAUGCCGGUUUCAGUUUUGCCUUUUUUAGGAUUGUCUUCUCACUUUUAUAAAAAACUGUGAUUCAGAUUUCCUUUCCUUGUUUCCUGCCACACAUCCUUCCUCCUCCUCACUUCACUGGGUCAAACGUACCUCCUGGUAUCUUUAGCAAUCUCUAGGUAUUCCGUGACAGUGACAAAGAUAGCAGCAGACAUGGGAAAUGAGAAAAAAGAGGAUCUGCUUAGGUGGGAUUCAAUAAUAUGAGCCUGUGUUUAGCAGGAUGGCUUACGGUUUGUGAGCGUUGCACCCACUGAGGAAGUGCGUCAACACUUUCCCAAACCUGAGCUUAAAAAACACAAAUCCCCAAUUUAAAAAAAAAGCCUGGUAAUACUGUCAUUAUCACAUACUGACCUGCUUGCUGGUCUCUGACUGCACUCCUCUAGUCUCUCAUCUGUAUUGGAGCCUCCAUGAGAAGGUUCCCAGGGUUGGGUUAGUUAUGCGUAUAGCUAAUGCCAGCCAUGGGGCAUCUACUAUUGAUUGGGAGUUUCCUAUGUGAAAAAUGCUCUCCAAAGCUUAUGGGAAAAAACAAGACCUUUGGAGAGCUCGCCUGCCAAAUAUCCCAGGCCUUGGGCACACUCAAUUUUGAACUGUAGUUAGUGAGGAAAGACAGAAUGAUCAAGGAAAAUAAAAGGGGGCAUUCCUUGAAGAGGCGACACAUGUUGUGUAGGGAGUGUUGGAGAGCAGAGCGUGAAAGAUGAGAAGACAGAAGGAGUCAGUAGAAGGAGGCACCUGUAUCUCAUGCUGUCCAUUUCCUGACUUCCUGUCAUAUACUCUGGGCUUGUGAGUCCUCCUGUUAAGACAAACUCUGAAGAUAUGCCCCAUUGAGUUAAUCCAACGAACAUUGAAGAGUAGGUCUGUUUUAGGUUAUUUGCCAUCUCAUUAUAUAUAUUUUGGAUUUUUGCUUUGAUUUGAGAGCCUAAUGGGAGAAAUAUUCAAUUAAUUGUACAAAAGUGGAAUUGGUAAUAUUUGAUACAGAAAAAUAAAACAUUCAAACUCGGGAGUUGAAGAUAUUUGUUCUGUUGCAGAUACACUCUUGAAAGGUGCCACAUUGCUUUCUUUAAGCAUUCCCUGUUCAGCAUACAACAAUAAAUUGUUACAGAUAUACAGUGUAGAAAUAAUUUUUUUGAAAUUUCUAGACUACAGUUGUGAAGGAAAUAAUAUGUUGAGUUGGUUAUAGAAGAGCAUGAAUUCUCUCUUUACUCUCGAAGUUAUCAAGUCAGAAACCAUGUUGAUGUAAAGGAUGAAGGGAGGUGGGGUAUAGAAGACUAAACCCUGCAGACCAACAGGAUCCCUCAAAUGAAAGCAGGAAAGUGAUACUUGGAGACAUUUGCUCUGGAAGCCUGAGGAGAUCGGUAAUAAUACAUGAUGUUUAUUGGAAGGUAGGAGGAAUGGGUAAAGGACAUUGUGGGAUUGGAUCAUGAUUAGCAAAGAAAAUGGAUAGUCUUCAGGGUUGUCUAUCUUUUAUUUGCUUCUCAGCCUUCUGUGAAGCAUCUCUGAUGGGCUUUUGCCCAUCAGAUAAUGUAAGGUUCUAGAGUGGAGGAAGACCAGCCUUUCCUUUAAGAGGGUCUAGUGCUGUGGCUGAGUGGAGCUACUACAGAUUGGGAAUCAUUAGCUGAAUCCACUCUGAUGGGAAAGGAGCUAUUCUUUGACAAGGGUGAUGGAGACACAGAAAGAAAGGGAAGGAGAAUUGAGCAUCACAUGGAGGGAAGUUUGGCUUGGACCAGUUUUUGUGGCUUUAAUUAGUGGCAGCUAGAGUAAGAUUGCUUUCUUUUCCUCCACAUAUACAUUUCAUUAGAGUGCCAUCAUCAUAGAGUGUUUGAAUAAAUCUUUCUGAGGACACCCAAUGUGAGGCAUCAUGUUUUAAAAUUAUAUUUAUUCUAAAUAAACUUAGACUGAAAUUCGUAAGCUAUCAGAUACAUUUUUAUUCCUGGUCCAGUAUGCAGCAAAUGUGAAAUGAAAACAUGAGGAAAUGGAGAGUUUAAUUUAUCCUCCAUCCUAAAUCACAGAUGCUUUUGAAAUACGUGUUUAAUGUGAUAAACCCCACCAUGGGCUCUGUUUUUUAUUUCUCACUGGAACCACUUAGGAUAAAAGUCAUAACUGCUAUAUCGCCUGCUGGGGCUAACUGCCUCAUGUAUAUAUCAAAUAGGUAAUAAACUUCAUGAAGUUGCAUUCAUUUGUCUUUGUAACCACAGCAUAUUAUAUGAUGACAGUGGGGUACUUAGAAGCUGUAAAAGUCUGUUAGAAAUAAAGCUAUACCAAGUCUAUAUCAAAAUAGAAUUGGUCCACAAUGACUCCCUUCAGUUCUUAGUCAUAGAUGAAAGGAAGAAAGAAAAGAAGAAAUGGAUGGAGGGAAUGAGGGAGGAAGGGAGAGAGGGAAGAAGGGAAAGAGAGAGGGAGAAAAGGAGGAAGAAAGAGUUUAAAAAGAAUCUAAAUUUAUAUACACCUAUAAUCCCAAUACAAAAGGAAGAUAGGAAGACUGUGUGAGGGUCAGACCAGCCUGGGUUACACAGGGAACUCUUGUCUUAGAACAAGACAAAAUCAAAACCACAACCACAAAAAUGGCAGUCUAGGACUCCACUUAGAGGAAAAAAAAGAGACUGUAGGUUUUUUUUUCCCAUGGAGUCAAUCACAAAGGGCUAUGGCAGUGUUGGGACUUUAGAAUCUGGAAUAAAGGGGGAGAAGAGAGAGAAGAGAAAUGUUUAAAGUGAAUGCUCAUGUUUGGAAGCUUUGGGGAGAAAUGAAUAGGUGAUAAGGAGAGUGUGCAUAGAGGUUGGGGGGAAAGGUCAGACGCUGAUGCAUCACAGGGAUCAUAAGAGAUGAUGGUCAUGAGGAGGCAGGGUUAGCAGAUAAUGCUGUUAUAUGGUAAUCAAAGAAGAAGGGCAAAUGACUGCCAGAUGGUCACCUAUGGCUCUUAAAGGGUGUUUUUCCCCAGACACAGGUGGGAGUGCACUGUUCUUUAGCUUCCUAGAAUUCGUUUUAGAUGAAUUUCUAGUAAGGAAUCCCACAAGUUAACAUAGCUUUCCAAACAAGUGUGUGAACAAAGGGGUAGAGGCAUGUCUAUUUGUGAUUUGGUAUUUACUAAGAGAACUUCUCAAGACCAGAACCAGUCAGUUACCAGGACUCACGUUGUUCAAGAUUAAUACCAAGCAGCCAAUUUUUGUUGUUGUUAUUAUUAUAUUCGUGGACUUAAGAGUCUAAGAAUUCUACUCUUAGGAAUUCUAUAUUUUCUUUUUCUAUUUGAGAUGGGACUUUAUCUAAAUUCAGUAUAGUAAAAUUACUAAAUGCAAACAUCACUAGGAAAAAAUAAACUUUAUUGAUCAAAAUGUCUCAGGUAUGAACUAUUGAUUAUGUUAUCCCUGCCUAUCCUUAAGCCACAGGGAAUUAUGGUAAAGGUGAGCUGCCUGAUCAAAUUUUCAAGUGUUACCAUAGUUGCAAGCCCUCAAUGGUAUUUGUUCUCAGCUACCCUUUUAAACAUAGAUACCUUACAUUAUCAUAAAAGGCGUCUUAUAGUUAUUGAUCUAGAAAGAUUGUAAUAGCAACAUGCAAACUGCUAUCUACAAGUCUGGCUUAUAGUGCCAAGUAAAAUAUCACAACAAAUGGUAUCUUGGACAGGUCAUAAACACCAAGAAUGGAAAGACUUCCCAAAGAAAGGCCAAGAUCCAAAUUCUCCUCAAGCCAAUUGAUGGAUAGAAAAAGCAGGACCAGUUCCCAAAGAAGUCCAUAUCCACAUGUUCCUUUCCCAUCACUCCCAGGGAGAAGGUGUGGCUUGUACCACAGGACACUAAAGCACUUCCAUUUGUUCAUGAAACUGGCAUCCAGAGGAGAAAACACUUCCCACCCAGCUCAGCUUUCCUUUCAAAGCAUGGGUCAGCAACAGUAUAUGGCUCUGCCCUGUUGGACAAUCCAGUAUAAACUAGCCUUCUGAGUAAGUAAGGAGCACUCACUCAGUGUGGAGCUCCCUUGCUGUUCCACUGUCCCGAGUAGUCUCAGUUGGGCCUUAUCAUCAGUACAAGAGUCAAGGACGUUUGACUCGUCACCAUGCUGGCAUAUUUAGAACACAAGUGUCUGGGGAACUGCCAUUUGUAACCUUACUUCUGACUGUAGCCUGUUGCUAGCAUCACAGCAUUUCAUAUAGCUCAGGCAAGCUCAGAGUGUUCCAGGGAAUCACACGGAGGAAUGACAGCAUGGACGCCACGUGGGGUUGCUACUGAAAUGAGAAAUCAGAAAUAUCUCUAGGAGAAAAUAAAAACUUAAAACUUAAAAUGUUUGAUAAAAACAAACUAUUUGGGGGCCUUGUAUUAUUUUCAGUGACCAGGUUUUUAUGAAAUUGCAAACCAGAUCAUUGAAUUGCAAGAAAAAAAAUUACCCAAUUAAAAAAAAAAAAAAGUCCGAUCUUGCUUCAGACUGCUGUUUGUAAAGACUAAAUAAGAAACAUGAAAACCAACUGGAGGUGGUGACACAGACCUUUAUUCCUGGCACAGGAGACGCAGAGGCAGGCAGAUCUCUGUGAGUUGGAGACCAGCCUGGUCUACAUCGUGAGUUCCAGUACAGCCAAGACUACAUAGAGAAACUCUGUCUUGAACAAUAAUAAUAAAAUAAAAAAAGAAAGAAAGAAAGAAAGAGAGAGAGAGAGAGAGAGAGAGAGAAAGGAAGGAAGGAAGGAAGGAAGGAAGGAAGGAAGGAAGGAAGGAAGGAAGGAAAAGGAAGGAAGGAAACAAUGAAAGAUACAAAGAAAGAAAAAAAACCAUAAAACUUUCACUAAACAGGUAAGAUCAGGUCCCCAGUGUCCUAGAAAGGGGUUCUGAAAUACAGACAAUUAAAUAUUAUAUAAUACAUAUAAUACAAUAUGCAGUCAAAUAUAUUCUAUUCUCAUCCCCUAUGGGAUAUAAUUUAGGGAUCAGAUGACUAAAACAUCAUGUUAACAGUAGGUCUGUCUCGCCCACAGCUCUACCCCUGAGAAUAUAAGUGUUUGUGCCUCAGACAAACACUUGAAUCCACACUCUAAAGGGGCUACAGUUUACACACAGCUGGUGUGGGGUGUGGGAAAAGCAUUGCACAUACAAGCAGUCCACUCAGUGAGGAAGACCUGGGUCUAUGAGCAGCAGGAGAAAGAUUACCUUCUUCAAAAGACUUUAAUUCUGAUGAGAGAAUUUUUAAAAGUUCCUUACAGUUCAAAAGCAUGGUAUUGGGGUUUUAAAAUAAAAUGAUUUCAUUUUGAUAAGAAACAACCACUAUUGGUGGUCUGAAAUUACACAGGGCCCAAAGAGGAGUGGGAGGGCACCUGAGUUUCCCUUGAAUUUAACUGGACUAUAAGUGUUUCUAAUGACUUGGCCUUGAAGGCACAUAAUUUACUUUAAAAGGGACAUAAUGAGUCUGGCAAACACCAGCCUUCUGUGCUGUGUUGGCUGACUUCUCUUUUGUUUCGCUCUCAUUACCUUUUAAUAUUCUCACAGAACAAUUCAUUCCCAGAUGAUCAAAGGGCCCAAAUGGGCUGGACCGUUUCAUCAGCUCCACGUUUGCCUGGGAUCGUGAAAUUGCUCCAUUAUGUUGUUAGUUCAAAAGCUUUUCUUUGGUAGUUCCUGAAGUGCCUCCCAGGCCCUUCCUUCCAACACACACACACCACA
This is a long non-coding RNA of Mus musculus (house mouse), 10101 nucleotides long. RefSeq annotates it as predicted gene, 53282. The transcript has 2 exons. The record is from RefSeq and is a predicted model, not a curated record. NCBI's taxonomy places the organism in Eukaryota, Metazoa, Chordata, Mammalia, Rodentia, Muridae.